AGUCGUGUGCUGGGUGAGACUGGCUUUCAAAUCCCUGUCUUAAAACCUUCCCUCUUCAAAUGUCACACUGGAAGGAUGUUCUGGACUGGUCUUUCACUUCAGUGUUGCUUUCAGGCUUCUUAUGUUAAAAAAACUCUACAUAGUUGCUGGGUCCUUAGGAAAAGAGAAAAAAUCAAUGAUGCCUGGUGGGUUGGUUUUGCUGCCAUUCUCAGGAGCCUUCCUGUAUAUUCUGCUGCUGCAAUCGCCCUCUUGGUUGUGUUUCAGAUGCUCACUGGCAGCUCCAUCCUGUGCUCUAGAACAUCUCCCAACUGCUGCUAAGGAAUAUAUAAUCUCCUUUCUUUUUCUCUGCAGGAUUUUAGCUGAUGCAAAAGUGAGGACAGCAAAUGGUCUUUUGUUUUCUUUUCCCCCAUUAUGCCUACCCACACAUCUUGAGUAGGACGUAAGACCCUUGUGCAAUACACUGGAAACAAACAAACAAAACAGCCGUAUGCUCUUUCUCCUUCACUUGAAACUAAACAUAUAGAUUGAGAUCUAAAUUUGAACAAAAAACAGGAAUAUAAAAUAUGGACAGCAUGAUGGCUAAUGUCAAAGGAAGGUAUUUACCCGAGUUACUUCUCUUUCUCUACUGCCUGUCUUCCAAGCAAGUUUUUGUCAUCCUAGUGAAAAUCAAAAGAUGGGCAGGAACAAAAAAACCCACCCCUUCCAGUAAUCACCCCUCUGUAUGCAUGGAUGCUCUCUAAGUUCAUAUAGGCUAUUACAUCACAUGUGCACACCAAACUACUGUGAUGUCAGUUUAUGUUGCUUGGAUAUCGUAAUGUGCUAGUGAUAAACAAGCAAAUCUAUCCUUAAUGACAUAGGGAAUUUUGAUUAGGGGAAUUUCCAGGGGAGGGAGGAAUUACUACUAGAUCUUAGACUCCAGUCCUUAAAAUGGUAUCAAACUCCUCCUAAGAGAGGAAAGGCUUACAAACUUCUAGUCAGGAGUGGAUUCAUUACUAUGGUUUUUUUGCCCCCACGGACCUUUAGUGUCCAGCUCCGUCUAGCUGAAACUAAUGAGAUCUUUUCACUGCCUCAAUGCCGAAAUGACUUGACUUUGAAGAAGCUUAAGCCCCAUUUGGAAUUACUGACUGGGAUACCCCUUAAUUUCCGGUGGCUUCAGUACCUGGAUGAAGUAGAUCUGCCAGAUGAUUCUACGUUUAAGGGCAAUGAGAUUGUCCCUGGUGGAACGAUUACAAUGCGCAUCUGGAGACAAGAUGGCUGGGGGCGUCUUGUGGCAGCUGCUGCAAAAGGAGAGACUGUGAAGGAAACGGAUGUGCCACAAAGACAACAGUGGUGUUUGAAAUGGAAGAUGUAUUGCUACAAAAACUCUGCAAAAAACUUGUGA
RNAcentral lists this long non-coding RNA (1381 nucleotides) under Apteryx owenii (little spotted kiwi). RNAcentral describes it as "lncRNA (ENSAOWG00000000932.1)". Lineage: Eukaryota; Metazoa; Chordata; Aves; Apterygiformes; Apterygidae. The record is from RNAcentral.